Molecule: long non-coding RNA, 2734 nt
Filed under: Lepisosteus oculatus (spotted gar)
Lineage: Eukaryota; Metazoa; Chordata; Actinopteri; Semionotiformes; Lepisosteidae
Description: lncRNA (ENSLOCG00000022697.1)
Source: RNAcentral
UAAAAUUUCAAUUAUGUAUUUGCAUUUCUUAAUUUUGAAGGUACCUUUUUAGAAACAUUGAUAAAAGAGACAUUACAGUUAAAUCUUUGGUGUUUUUGGCUUAUGAAAGCAACUAAUAUGUCUAAUAUGAAAUCAUAGAUUGAUCUGCUAUCAUGCAUUCUUAAUUACUUAACAAACCCUUACAGCGGUCAUUGAGGAAUGAGGAAUGAGGCAUAACUUUAACUUGCUGAGAUGGAACACCACCAAAUAAGAAGUAACUUAUAUCAAUUAUUUCUUAAUUCUGUUGAUGAUUUAAGGAGAGUGACAGUUUGCUUCUCUUUGCUUUGGAUCUGCUUUGCAAUUUUGGGAAAGACAACCAGGAAGUCCUUGAAGAAUGAAAUCAAGAUCACAUCAGGGAGAUGACCUAGGUGCUCGACAUUUUGAGAGACAGGUGUCUAGGUUUUCAUUGUCAGUCAUCGGUACAGGUGACCAGGUGAAUACGAAGGUUCAGGAAUGUAACACCUCUGAUUUGCAGAAGCAGCGCAGGCAUGUUGCACACCCCGUGUCUUAUGCUAAUCUUGAGACUCGUAAGAGGUUUGGAAUGUCAACCAGGCAGCGGCUCGAUAAGAGGCACAGAGCGACAACUGCUGCACAGCACUGCAGGGGAGGUCAGGAGGCACUCCGAGGACUGAACCGUCUCCCACCGCUGUAACAUGCACUUACGCAUGUGAGCACAGUCGAGCGACGGCGGAGAGGUCUCCAAGCUGUAAGCACAGACGCUGAUAUCGGCUGUGUUGUGAAAGUUCUUGGGUUUUUGUUGUGCACUUUUGUGCACACAGGUCCCUGCUGAGGUGGAUUUGGUCAACUGAGGGUAAGAUAAUUCAUGCCGGUCCCAGAAAACCAGCCGCGUGCUCCUGGUUCUCACCUCGCAGUGGUUAGCUGCAGGGAGGAUGGCAGGAGCCCCUUCACUGUCUCAGUGACAGGUUUUGGGCUGGAGCUGGUGUUUGUCUGCCUGGCCACAGGGGUGGGGGAGCACACGCUGAAGGAAUGCACCCCCUUCUACAUCGCAAUGUCUCGUGCGGUGAUUGGAUUGCCUUUGUGGUAUCCGACAAGCGCAAAGCAGGAAUGGCCUUCUCAACACAGUGGCAAUGCUGGCAUUCUUCGGCACUACUCAUCUCUGCUCAGACCCUUAUCAAGUACCUCUUUCAACUUCCCACUUCAAAAGAAAACGCCACAAACUUUAAACAGCAUUAUCCACUGUCAAUUGGAACCCAAACAUGACAGAUCACACUACCUAACAGGAUUUUCCACUGAAGAAGGAAUGUACAAGAGAACUUGUUUGUUGUGAAUGUUAACAGGCUGCUGAAUGUAAUUUACAGGCAAAGAAAGAAGUCAGAAGUACCAAGACAGUGGUGAAGGAAAGGAUUUUAAUUUCCAGCACCUUUAUGCAAGAGUUGUAUGCUUUCAUCCAGUUUUCAAGAUUAAUUAAAACAGACAUAAUGGUACAGCACAUUUAAGGUCACACAUAUAAUAAAGUUAAGUUUUAAAAGCAGCAGCUUGUUUACUUAAUCUUGAUUCUUCCCGUGUUAAAAUAAACCAUGGUUGUGCUUCAUCGAUUGGUUUUUGGCUGUGUGACUAAAUAUCUUACACAUACUAUAUAAGGUAGGACAUGGAGUUUUGGAAAUAGAAUAUUAUUUUUAUUUUAUUUUCCAAUUGAACACGUUGAAUUGUGUUGAAUCAUAUAUUUGAUGUAUGAAGAAUACAUACAAAAACUUUUUAAAGGAUUUUCAUUAUUAAAUGCUCAUAGAGUAUGACCUUUUGUGCACUAUAGCUGAAGCCAGCAGCUCUGCCUAUGAAUUCUGAUAUAAUCAAUAUCCUAUUAUGAUGGCAUGUUCAAGUUUACAACUUCAACAUAAUGGUCUAGAUAUUUCAUUCUGUGCCUGCCAGAUAUUGCAGAAUUCACAGUCCUUCUCUCGUGCGUUGUCAGGCCUGUAUUCCUCUAGAAAACAAGGUUUCCUUCCUUUUAAUUAACAAAGGAAUGCAUUUUAACACGGGGAGACAUCUGAGUCCAAAUGUUAAGUCUUUUGGUGUCGAUAGUACCUAAGGUUUCUACUUAUCUGGAACAAGCAGAGGACAGCAGAAAAUCAAAAUGUGAAGCCGUUACAAUGUACAGUCCUAUUCCGAGCCAGGAAUAGACCAGCUUUUUGUAAUAUUAUUAAAUGAUUUCAAUGAUGUAUGUAUCAACACUGUAUAUAAUUUCAACAGCUUUUUAUCUUGAAAAUGAGAAGUGGUAAAAUUGCUGGACCAAAGAAAUCUUGAAGAACUAUUAUUUCUGCAGUUUAAAGUUAUUUUUUUUGUAUCUGAAGCAAAUAGGGCUAAUUAUAAAGUUACUUCUAUUCUGUAUAUUUAUAAAUGUAAAUCAAAUUCCUCACAUUUAUCAAUAUUUUCUCAUUUUCUUUUUGUUUUAUUUUUUUCUUUAUGUCAGAAAUGUUUUCACAUUAAGCAAUAAAUUGGAUUUUCCUGGCUUAUUCGCCUUAUAAUCUGAUACUACUACUGUUAUAAUGUUUCUUGAGUUCAAGCACAUCAUCCAUGGGCCGCUCCUGUCUUGAGCUCUCUGCUACAUGGCUCUGAGUUGCCAGAGCCCUUUCCUGGAAUAAGAAUAAGAAGUGGAUAAGUGAUUAGAGCUCUGGUCUCUUGCCUGCAAGGUUGUGGGUUUAAAUUCUAUGUGAUAUACUGCUAUACACUUAAAUAAAAC